RNAcentral lists this long non-coding RNA (31905 nucleotides) under Triticum aestivum (bread wheat). RNAcentral describes it as "long non-coding RNA (TAES_LNC024764)". The record is from RNAcentral. Lineage: Eukaryota; Viridiplantae; Streptophyta; Magnoliopsida; Poales; Poaceae.
UGGCGACUUUGCUAGUAUGAAUGCAUGAAUCUUCACCAGUUGUUAUAUAUGCUAAGAUUCUGCAUGUUAACUUCUGACCUUGUGUGAGAAGCGCAAGGUCACUCUUUCAUUGUAGUUUCAUUGCAGUUUUUCUCACUGUGCUAAUCAAGUUCAUCUGAUACUCUCAGCAAGAAAAAGUAGAAUCUGAUACAAAAUACAAUUAUGUUACGUACCCAGAAAGUAAUUUCAGGAAUGCACCUACAUAACUGUAAUACUGUUUUGCAUUACAUAACUUGCAAUUUGUAAUUGUUCAAGCACUACAGCUCGAGCAUUUCAGAUCUUCCGUAAGGAUGUGUUAUUGCACAAGCACUGUCAAUAAAUGACAUUUUGUCCAAUAUGUUUUGCUUUUAUAAGUACCUAAAUGUCGAUGUUUAGAUAAAUUCCUUUUUACAGACUAUUAGAGUGAUAAAAUAUUUUUUAGCAAAAAGUUUAAAAAUAGCGGAGCGGCUGAUGAUUGCAAAGGAGGUAUGCUGGUGCCACUGGCCAUAGGAUCAGAUUCUGGAAAAGGGUGAAAGGUCAUCAAGAACAAGCAAGAGAAUGAAUUAGUGGCGACUUUGCCAGCAUGACUGCAUGAACCUCCAUUAUUUGCUGCAUAUGUAAAGGGUCUGAUACAUUCUCUUUAAGAAAUAGUACAUCAGUUACAAAGUAGAGUAGGUUACAUUAGAGCCAGAAAGAAACUUAAGGAAGCUCAGUGGAUCUUACAUUUAAAGAUUAUAGUACAUGACUGUAGUACGGAUGUUUGGCUCAAGCACUACAACUUGAGCAUUACAGAUCUUCCGUAAGGAUGGCAAAACGAGAAUCCAAUAGUGGCCCAAAAUGCCAACACAAAGCCAGCAGCUGUGACCACAUAUAGAACUGGGUCACUGGGUGUCUCUUCCACAUCUUUCCCCGCAGCAGGAUCUAGACCGGGAGCAGCACAGGUAUUCCCCUGAGUAAUGUUGUGAAGGUUGGUGUUGGCUAGGUAGCUGUCCAUGUUGAAUGAGCUGAGCUGUCCAUAGUUUGGUAUGCAUCCUGACAAGUUGUUGUAUGCCACAGAGAAUGCCCCCAAUGAUGAUAACUGGGUUAACUGCCAAGGUAUUGGUCCGCUCAGCUCAUUGUGGGAGAGGUCCAAGCUUUCUAUUUCCUCCAUGCCGCCAAAGGUCAUUGGGAUUGGACCAACAAAUAAAUUGUUGGACAGGUUCAGGGAUUUGAUAUGGCUCAGAUUUCCAAGCUCCCAAGGAAUUUCUCCAUCCAGCAUGUUUACAGACAGGUCAAUCCCUGACAUCGAAACAAAGAAACUGCGUCCGUACGUGUAGAGAUUCCCUUUGGUAGUAAAGGUGAAGUCUACUAAUAAGUCAUAGUAAGCGGCCUGGAUGUCAGAAAUAAGAAGUCCACUAAUAAGGACUGGCUGCAAAAUUUGAUCAUCUGUAACACCUUUGAAAGAUAUAUUACCAAUACAUGCUGGUAGCAAGCCUGAAAGCUUGUUAUGAGAAAAAUCAAGUAUCCUCAAGUACAUGAGUCUGCACAGGUUUGGAGUGAUCUGCCCUUCAAACUUAUUUCCGCCCAACAAAAGUAGCCUAAUGUUGUCAAGAUAAUGUACCCAAUUUAGGUUGCCCGUGAACUGAUUGUGUCUGAUAUCCAAAGCAAUUAGACUUGAUGUGUUGAAAAGGGCAAAAGACAUAUCGCCAGAUAAAGAGUUCCCUGUAAGUUUAAGAAAAUUCAGCACUAUGAAGCAACUGUCUGGUACAGACCCUGUAAGGUUGUUGCGCGACAGAUCUAAAAGGCGAAUUCUUGUGAAGUCACAGAUGUGUUGAUCAAAUUUGCCUGUUAUAUGGUUGUCAGCAAGAUUCAGGGCCACCAAAGAAGACAUACUCCAAAAUGAUGUAUCGAGUUCGCCAGACAGCUCGUUAUCAUGCAAAUCAAUGACAUUUAGAGAAUAUGCUGCCAGAUCACGAGGCAAUGUCCCUGUAAAUUUGUUACCAUCCAAGCACAAUUUCUUUAUAUUGGACAGAUUAUUCAUCCCACCAAAAAUCGGACCACCAAGCCUGUUGUUCGAGACCUUCAAGGUGGAUAGCCCGGGAUAAUUAGUAAAAACACAAGCUGGAACCUCCCCAGAAAGUUUGUUGUUUGAUAGGUCUAAAAAUGUCAUGGAGCUGAUCUCACACAUUGGCGUUGGUAUGUGCCCAAACAAGUCGUUACUAGACAAAUCUAGAUCAGACAAAUUUGGAAACAUUGAGCUGAGGUUGGCCGGCAACUGUCCUGUGAUAUGGUUCAUGGCUAUGUUGAUAUCCGUGAGGAAAGAUUGGGCAUGCCAUAUUGGGUCUAGCGAUCCAGUUAACGAGUUAUUCCCAAGAUAUAGUUGUUGUAGUUUUGUUUCCUCUGUAAACAACCAAUUGGGCAUGCUGCCUGACAAGUUAUUGCUGGACAAAUCAAGCACCUCUAAAUGAUGCUGUGUGAGUAAAAAAUGUGGUUCUGCAAUAAUGUUCUUGUUAAGGUCACAGCCAGAGAGCACUAACUGUUUCAAUUGGAAUGAAGGUGUCCAUCCAGGAAUAUUGAUGUCAAUAACUAGGUUACCAUUGCCUGAAAGGUCUAUCUCUUCUAGCUUUGUGAGGUUUUGAAGCCAAAUGAAAGAAAGUUUACCACUCAAAUUAUUUUGGGAAAACCGAAGACUCUUAAGGGACAAUGAAAGAUCCGAAGAUGAAUUUAUAAGAAUUUGUCCUCCGAGCAAAUUCGUCGAGAGGUUCAACCGUUCGAUAUGUGGAAGCGAGAACAAGAAUUUUGGAAUGUUUCCGCUGAAUUGGUUGGAACUCAAAUACAACUCUCGUAGGUUCUUGAGGAUUUCAAAUGCUGCAGAAGUACCAAAUCAUGUAUUAAUAAUUACUCAUAGAAAACAAUGGUGACACCAUCUUUACUGAUAUAAGCAGGAAAUGCUCAUUAUAGGAGGACUGUAGGAGCACCUUGUACAUUCGGAAGAGCUCCACUCAGCUUAUUAUGUUCAAGAUGUAAGACUUCAAGUGGAACUGGUUCCGAAGAUAAAUGAAUAGGGAAAUCUCCCUCGAAUUCAUUAUAUGAGAGAUCUAGGAACUUCAGAUGAGGAAGUGAAAAUAUUGACACAGGGAGGGAUCCGCUGAAUAGGUUGCUAACCAAAUGCAAGUUCCUGAUGUUUUUAAAGGCUGUGAUGCAUGUAAGUAGUACAGUUAGUACAGGUGGCACAAAAUUAAAGUAGGGAGAUUGAAGUAUGAAACACGAUGUCUCAUUUUUUAAUGUAAGAUAGAUAUUUUUACCUGAGAGAGUUCCGUUGAGGCGAUUAAAACUGAGAUCUAGGACUUCAAGUGACAUUGGACCCGAGAAUGAGCUUAUUGGAAUAUGCCCAUCGAAGUCAUUAAGGGAGAGAUCUAGGAUCUUUAGGUGAGGAAGUGCAAAUAGCGAUGCCGGGAGGCUUCCGUUCAAGCUAUUCCAAUACAUGCUCAUUCUCAAUAGCUGCAAUGUGUGUAGGCAUGCGAGACGAGUUUAUGAAUAUGCAACUUUGACGUCUACCUUAGUAUUCUACUAUAUAAUUAAGCACAAAUCUGUACCUGCGCUUGGAAGACCUCCGGUCAUGUGGUUACCGUCGAGAACUAAGACUUCUAGUGAAACAAUUUGCCCAAUAAAUUCUGGGAACCCCCGUCCCCAUGCACUGUUACUGAAAUCGAGAUAUCGAAGCUUGGCUAGUCCAAGCAAACAUGCAGGUGUUUUAGUUUGUACAACAAUGAAAAUAAGUCACCGCACAUACAUAUUGUUCUAAAAGAAAAGGAGAAUUUGGAGUACAAAUGUACCUUCCAAGGCUAGCGAACAUGGAUAAUUGUAUGACAGAUCAAGGUAUUGAAGUUCAUGUAAUGCAGAAAACACCGUCGAGUUUAGAUGCCAACUCUCUUCUGAAUUAGUUACAUAUACAGAGGAAAGGUUGAGAUGAGACACCCGCUGUGUUGUAUCGUCGCAUUUCACGCGCUCCCACGAGCAGCAGUCAUCACCAUCCUCCCCCCAUGAAUCAAGCGCACUCAGGGAAUGCGCUCUUACCAGAGAAGACCGGAUGUCCAGUAGAGAAGCCCUCUCCUCCAGGAAGCAGCCAGAGGACAAGUGAAACAUGGACUGUAACAAGAGAAACAACGCCAAAGACAAUGAUCCCCAUGGCAAGCAGCUAACCAUAUCUGAUAAUAAGCUUUUCCUUCUCCUGUACAUUUAGGUAGCUAGACUUUGGGAGAGAAAUGGUGAGAUUUACAGUUCUGCAUGCUUGGCUUUUAUCUUUCGCUAGCUUCUUGGUACUAACUGUAGACAAGAACAUGUCAGGAAUACGAGACAAGGAGUACGGCUUGGCACAGGCGGUCAGUUUACAUGGACCGAGUCAUUGGCAAUCAUCAUCAUCCACAGCAAAUCUUGUUGUAAAUAUAUUUCGAUGCACUCUUGACCAGUGGAUGGCCAAUUAGUUGCAGCCGGCAUUAGGUGCCGGCUAGAUUGUUUCCUUUUUUUUGACAGCAAAUGCCGGCUAGACAUUUCAAGUUCUAAAGACGUCAUGUGGGGGCCCAAGGGAGUAUGUUUCUAGAGAUACCAGACUACAUUUUUUUUCAAUAAAGAGAGUAUAUAUUAAUAUCAAGAAGAUAUGGUUACAUUCAAUAUGUACACCAAGGAAGCUAGUCAAGACAUAGAGAAUGCACACUGUCAAAGUAUCACGAAAGGAAAAGAAAGCAAUUAAUGUUUCUUUGAAGGAUCCAGCAAUUUGCUGGCUUCAUUUGAUUUAGCAGAUAGCACAUGGGAAACACAUGGUGUCGAUGAUCUUUGACACUCACGAACCCCCNNNNNNNNNNNNNNNNNNNNNNNNNNNNNNNNNNNNNNNNNNNNNNNNNNNNNNNNNNNNNNNNNNNNNNNNNNNNNNNNNNNNNNNNNNNNNNNNNNNNNNNNNNNNNNNNNNNNNNNNNNNNNNNNNNNNNNNNNNNNNNNNNNNNNNNNNNNNNNNNNNNNNNNNNNNNNNNNNNNNNNNNNNNNNNNNNNNNNNNNNNNNNNNNNNNNNNNNNNNNNNNNNNNNNNNNNNNNNNNNNNNNNNNNNNNNNNNNNNNNNNNNNNNNNNNNNNNNNNNNNNNNNNNNNNNNNNNNNNNNNNNNNNNNNNNNNNNNNNNNNNNNNNNNNNNNNNNNNNNNNNNNNNNNNNNNNNNNNNNNNNNNNNNNNNNNNNNNNNNNNNNNNNNNNNNNNNNNNNNNNNNNNNNNNNNNNNNNNNNNNNNNNNNNNNNNNNNNNNNNNNNNNNNNGUCUCCGGCGACGGUGCGCCUCGGCGGGCGGUGCCCCGGUGUAGAUCGGGCGCAGGCGUGGCGGCGGCCCGGCCCUUUGGUGGCGGUGGCGGCUGGCGGCGCGGGGUUGGCCGGCGGAGCCCUGCAGGCCCAGAUCUGUGCCCUUCUGGGCUCGAUUUGGGCAAGGGCGGGUUGGUCUGGCCUCCGGCGGGUCGCCUCCGACUGGGCUGGCGAGAUGCAGACGUUGGGAUCGGCGGCGCUGCGCUGCGUCGGCAGGAGCUUAGUGGGCCCGAUUUGGGCCCGGCUGGGCAGGGGGUCCGGCGUGCUCCUGCUCCUGCGUCUGGUCUGCUACUGCGUGUGCCAGUGGAGGUUGUCCCCUCCCACGUGGCUGCGGUACUACCGGUCCCUAUCAUCGGUGGCCUCGUUUGGUUCGGCCGGCCUCGCAGGGUCUGUGGUGGAGAGAUGAUGGUGGUGUCCUCGUGACUGUGGUGGCGCAUGUUGGUGGGCGGUUGGCAUGGUGGAGCCGCCGGUUGGUCCUAGGUUGUGGGUAUGAGGGGUAGGGCGAAAUCCCUCUCGGGUCUGCCCGACACCGAUGCGGUGACGCCUGCGGGCGCCAUCAACCUUCUUGAAGGGCGUCGGGAGUACCUCUCCUCCGCUUCCCUCCGUGUAUCGGGAGAUAUCAUAGGAGUCAUCCGGGCAGCAGCGUCGUCGUCGUCGCAGUCCUUCUUGAAGGUGUUGCUUGGUACGCGGUGACUCGGUGGCAUUGGAGCGUGGGGGAUGUGUCCGGUGGGCGCAACGGUUGCGGGAUACUACAGCUUUCGUUGAUCCGGUGCUGCUGGCAUUUCUUUCUCUUGUUUUUCUCUUGUUUUCCUUUUGGGCGUGAUUGUGUUGUUUGCCCCAGAGUUGGACUUCUUGUUGUAUCGGGUGGUUGCUAUAUUAAUAUAGCGGGGCGAAAGCCUAUUUCGUCAAAAACAUGGUGUCGAUCAAGUGAUCAUGGUAGAGCGGAGAGAAGAGAAUGAAAGGAGAAAAAAUAAGAGAAAGGGGAAGAGGGGAAACAUGUGCCCUCUAUCUCAUAACAUCAACCAGGAAUGGUUGCAACUCUAGAGUAACAGGAGUGGUGCUCCAUUUCAAACAGGUGACACAUCAAGGAAGAGAACGACACACGAGCAGCGCCGUCGUAGGAUACAACCAUUGGGAUGAGAUCAGAUCAUGGGUUUCACCCCGAAGAGAAGUCUGAGAACCAUUCCCAGGGUCUACCAUGGAAGGUCGGACAUAGAGUUUCCCCUGGAACCCAACACUCAAAGAGCACCACCUAUCAGAAAUCGUCCUGCGCUUCCACCACAUGAUGAUCCAUCAACGCAUAGCUGCACACACCUGCAAAGUACAAACGUGAAUCUCAUAACGCAAUUGGGACCGCGCCCAUGAAACACAUGUUGUCGUGUUGUGCCUAACAAAGUCAGAUAUCGACGUCGAUCCCAUGACACCGAAUCCAGACCACCCACAUAGAGACGAAUUAGGCUAGUCACGCACACGUGAUUUUUUUAAACUCUAAAGACCGUUUUGCAAACAGACCGGAGAGAACUGGUUGGUUUUUGUACAAACUAGGAGAAAAACCAGAAUCGAUUGAACUGGUGACAGGCACAUUGUUAGUUUGAAAGAGAAAAACAAACCGCAAAGGCUAGGAAUCAAACCAUGGUCGCCAGGGGAACAUGCGAAGCCUUCGGCUUGGCCCAAGAACCGCUUGGCUUCGAUUGAUUAUGUGUCAAAAUUAAGGAACUUAUCUUAUUUGACCUCGUUGUAUUACUAUAUUAGCCUACAAAACAAAUUUUUUAUAGCCUAAUAAAAACCCAGCAAACGAACAAGUGAACGAGUGGUCUGACUGGUGAAAACCUGGACCGACAGGCUCACCAGUUCGGUCACCAAUCCAGUUUGUAAGACUAUGCUUAUGUGCGGAGUGAUAUAUAUGCACUACCAUGGGGGUGUAUUAUAGACCCAUUUGUUUACCCAAUUUUUUGGUGGGCUGCAAGAAAUAUAUCCUUGUGGAGGUGAUCUUUCCUGUUGUGGGGAUUGCUGAGUUUUCCUAGGCAAUGUGGAAAACCCGCACCAAAACUUGCUUUGAAAAAAUAUUUUAACAUAAGCUCCUGUUGAGCUGAUGUCUAAUAUGUAUGAUAUUUUCAUCCAUGGGAAAGUUUGCAAAUGGAUGCUGGCAAAAGAAACUUGCUUGAAGGGGUGACGACACCUCAGCACACGUGGUGUAAGCUCACAAAGCGGCGUAUGCAUCAAUAGCUGGUACAACCUUCAAAUGAGGGGGCGGACGAAGAAACUUCAUAUGAGGAGUAUGAUGAGGAUCAGGUUCUUCAGGCAUGGUGUCAUGCUGGAAGAGUGACCGGUUGCGUUCGUUGCUGCUUGUGGUUAAUAUCUGUUGGGGGCCAUGUGCCCUCCCAUGUUCCAUCCCUCAUCUUAAUUAUUGCACUUGUAGGGUGAGAAUUGACACGACGAUGUCAAUGUUGGAGAUGUCUUGAGAUAAAGUGCGCGACACACCAUUUUGCUUGCUAUAAGCAUUUGGAUGCGAUAAAAAAAACUUGUUAGUGACAGUUUAGAGGAUUUACAGUCGAACAAACAUAUCAUGUCAGUCACGUUCAUAAGACAAGGUAUCAACAAACGAGGACCGUCUUGGCUGCUUGUUCUGGCGGUUGUAGUGGUCAUUCAGUGGUCUCGGAAUCUCCAUGUAAUUUUUAUUAUGUUUGAGAUGGUUUGUACUUCCGGUGAACUUUUAUAAUAGAUCUUGUUUUUUUUUUGCAAAAAAAUGUACACAUAUGGCAAAUUGAGAGAGCCUUUGUGUUUUGGAGACACAAAUCAUGUGAAGAAUUAUUGAGCUUACAUAUACCAUUAACCGUGUUCAUUUGGAUGAUAUAAGUGGUAUGUUGUUAGCUAAUGUGCCAUUUGAGCAACCCUUGCUAACUAUGCUCACACACUCUGGCUGAAUCACUGCACCACUCUAAUGGGUGGAAAUUUUUUGUCUUAAACAAUUUUUCAGAAGCCUGAAGUUGCGUCUUAAGCUGGAAAGUGAGUUAGAAUUACAAGUUCAAGGAUGAAAGGUGGAUCUUUCACUCCUCUCUUACUCUUGUUUUUCAAAUGUAUAACCAUGACAUAGCAAUGAAAUCAAUGAUUUUUUCCUACGGCGUUUUCGAAAUAUCUAAAGGAAUGGUAACAUAAAAAUAGUACAAAAACCAAUACACACGGUAGAGUUAUUUAUAUUGAUAUCUCAUUAUUAAAACCAUCCUUCCAAAUUAUUUUCCAAACCAUCCAAACAUUGAUAAAAAUAUAUUCAAACAAAAUGAUCCACGCCUUAUAUUAUUUUUCAUCUAUAUACAAUUUUCAACUAACGGAAAUCAUGUAAAUUCUGCAAUUGAAGUUUUUGACGAUUUUCGUCAACGUGUAUGUUUUCACAACUCAUAUUUUAAAAACAACAUGUAGCCUGACCAAGGAAAUCUAGGGUUCCUUCUCUGCUGUCACCCAUCCGUCGCCUGUAGAUCGUCGACCUCCGCCAACUCUGUUGGUGGGGGUGUGCCGAGGGAGGCCUGAAUAUACCGAUUGGAGGUGUGGUCACCCUCACUUUGGGGGCAUUAGGACCCUACUUGUCCACCACUUCACCUCUUUCGAUGAUGGUCACGGCGAUGUUUAAUAAUGGUUUCUCUGACUUCUUUUUCAACCCUGGCGAUGCAUGCGUCGUCGGAUCUAGCAAUGAGAUCGUCUGGAUUAUUUUUCAUCAUAUUUAACAAUGAGAUCAAGUGUUCAUAUUUGAUUUGCCUUCCUCUUUGUGGAAACAUUGGGGGGCGGGGGUUGGUUGGUUGUGUAUUCGCCGGGUUAGUGAUGCUUCUGCAGCAAUGACACCGAUCUGGUUAUUCCAUCUGACUCUAGCGGACAUGUAGGUAUGAUCCAUUAUCAUUUUCUUAUUUGAAGGGUAUAUCCUUUAGAAUUGACGUCAUUGGCCUUUCAGGCAGUCCGACGACACCAUGUAACUCUAAUGACAUCAACAUCAACACGCAUUGGCGUGUGUGGGAUUGAGUGGAUGGAGGAUUCCUCAUGACUAACAGCCUGUUCAGAUCGAAAGUCAUCUUUUGAUCCCGAGCUCAUAUGCCCCCGCAUGAACAGUAAAAUCGAAAAAAAUUCAAAAAAUUCCAAUUUUUUUUUGAGAGAAACUUUGACAAAAGUUCUAAGUGCCUGCAAAAAUUCAUCAUGAAAUCACAUUCCUGUAAGGCGUGGCAAAAAAAACAAAUUCAGUGCUUCAAAAUGCGUUUGGAAGUAGCUUUUUCAGAAUACUGUUUUUGUUUUUUUUGCCACGCCUUCUAGGAAUGUGAUUUCAUGACGAAUUUUUACAGGCACUUGGAACUUUUAUCAAUGUUUCUCUCAAAAAAAUUUGGAAUUUUUUAUUUAGUUUUGAUUUUACUGUUCACCCGAGCUCAUUUGAGCUCGGGAGCAGAUUAGCCGCGUCCAACCCUUUGCUUUCGUCAAAUCCCUGACUCCACUCCCCGCUCCUAGGUUGGUAACUCCCCACAACAAAUCGGGAGUUGACAACUUGUUUGGCAGCAAACCCACUCCGCACUGGCUUCCCACGAUGUACCAAUUUUUGUCGCUCGUCUUCCUAAUUUUUUGUUUUUUAACACAGUACAGACGCAAGCGCUCAUACAUACAUGCAUACACCCACCCCUAUAAACACACACGCACACCCUACCAACCAGCAUAUCAUCUUGAGAUUUACAAAGUCACCGUUGGCAGACUUGAACCCUGAUGGGGUGGGGGUACAACUAUCCCUCCAACCAUCCAACCACUUGAUGGUUCGCCCUAAUUUUUGUCGUUGAUGCUAGGUAUCAUAGCACAUUAGCACGCAACUUGGUUAAUUUUGUGUUCUAAAAAAUUGGUUCAUUUCGAAAUUCAGUAACAUUUCGUCACACAACUAGUAAUAAGUACAGUAACAAAUUGGAUUAUUUUUAGAUGAAAGUAUGCCGAGUUCCUGACACGACCGGCACUGUCCAGCCUUCGUUAUCCAGUCUGUCGAGUUGACCUACGCCCACGCCGCCGCCGACGAUGUCGGCACCAGCAGCUCCGCCGUCGCCGACGAUGUCGGCAUCCAAUCCCAUCUGUCAGGCCGCGAUAUCUGAAGACUAGUAUUCAGUUAACUGUGGCAAUUCCGGCACAUACCGAUUCAGUCAUUCCAACGGCCCAGGAGACUCCUCAAGCUACUUUCGUCGUUAGCCGUUAGAUUUACUUUCCGUUACUAUUACUUUUCAUGCGUUUCCGUUUACAGCGAGACACCCACCUACUUAACAGCCGGGUUGUGGCUGAGCUGGGCAUUGAAUCUUCCAGAUUUCCCUUCGAGGAUGAACCGUAAACUUAUACGGCACAGCCGAUAGCAAUAUAGAACCCAGAUCGGGGCCUCUUUCCUCGCAAUUCUCUGAAAUUCGUCCAUACAAAUCCCUUCUCUCAACCCGUAGAGUAACUAGGUCCUGACAAAUUGGCAUCAGAGCAGUGGUUCCUCGGUAGCUUCCGAUCGGAUCUCAAAUUUUCUCAAGAGAGGCAAGAACACCCACCCAAUUCCCUCCCUGUGUUGUGUGAUAAUGGUGGGCGGCGAUCGACGCGAGCGGUGAAGGUGUUCCUUCACUGCGACGUCAGGCGGUGGCGGAUCAAGGGCGGCGCAGGCGGCAGUGAUCGUUCGGGUGCAGAUCAGUAGCGCGGAGUGGUUGUGCUGGAUCACUUCCAGCAAAGUAAAAUUCCACGUCCUUCGCUGAUCCGUGUACCUUGGGAGGUGUGGAGCUUUGGCGGCGGCAGGAUCUGGACUGGAGAGGCUGGUUGCCGCAUCUGCGGUGGUAAAAUUCCCCCUCUCUUCUCUGGGUCAAGGUGAUGGGGCCCUCGAAGGCAGUUGAUGAGGCCGAGUGGCAGGAGGUUCUCUCUCUCUCUCCGAGAUGAGUUUGGUGCAGUUCAACAGGAAAACGCAGCGAUGCGAACAGAUGUGUCCAAAUUACAGGAAGAUGUUCAGUCGAUCAGUUCCAAACAAGGCGAAAUAGCUCUGCAAGUUGGAGGGAUUGAAAGAGUUGUGUUAGAUCUGGGGAAACAAUUGUCCACAAUGAGUUCAGUCUUGCAGAAAUUGGUGGCUCCAUCUGGGUCAGGAACUGGAGCUGAGAAACAACCUGAAGCUGACACUGUUGUUAGAUCACCAACGUUGCAACAGCAACAGCAGGACAAACCACCUAGCAGAACUGAGCAGUUGAGACAACAGUUAGAAGCAGAAAAGGAAAAGACCAGACAACUAGAGGAAUUACAAAUGCAGUAGUUACUUCCAAUCAGAACUGGCAGAACUGCAGCACCACCUGGAUUUGGAGCUCAUGCAAAUUUGGAAACAGCAAGUGCCAUUGGAACACCAGCAACACAGAGAAGGGGAGGCCAAACUCAUGUUUUCCAACAGUAUCAGCAACCAGCUCGAGACAGAUAGUUAUGGCAGGGCUACUUCAGAACGUAUGAGCAGGAUAUGCAGGCUCAGUUCAUGAAAGCAAUGACAAAAGGCCCGAGGAUGGAUUUUCCUAGAUUCUCUGGUGAAGAUCCUGUGGGCUGGAUUCGACAAUGCAACAAGUAUUUCCAAAUGGCAGCAACACCCGUAGAGUACAAAGUAUCACUCUCUCAAAUGUACAUGACAGGAGAUGAUGAUGUAUGGUUGAGGAGAUCUGGUUUACUCAAGAAACAAUUGUCAUGGCAAGAAUUUGGAAAAGAAAUCAUCAAAAGGUUUUCUGCCCAAGGCUCUUAUGACCUCACUGAAAAAUUUGCUUCUCUGAAACAAGGAAGCACUUCAGUGUCAGAGUACACCAAGCUGUUUGAGGAUUUAAUGGCUGAAUUGCAGGAGGAAAACCCCACAUUAUCUGAACCCUGGUUUAUAAAGUGCUAUGUUAAUGGGAUGAGAGAUGGAAUUAAGUACCAAUUGAGACUUCUUAGACCCACUUCUUUAACUGAUGCUUACUGUUUGGCAAAAGAGAUUAAACCUUGUCACCCUCCUCCUGUGACAAAUGUUAAGAAGUCAACAACCCCUUACAACAACUAUUGGCAAAAAAAUGUAGUGCCUACAGUAGGGAAAUAGGUGAUCAACACUGCAACAGUUCCAACAACUAGCAACACAAAGAGCACUGAACAUGUGAACAGUCAAAUUUAGAAAAUCAGAAAAGCAGGGGAAUGUUGGAGGUGUGGAGAUAAAUGGGUCCAUGGCCAUAAAUGCACUUUAGUUCCUAAUGUGCGCAUGUUACAGCAAGAAAUGGAAGAAACUGGUCCAUAUGAGACAGAUAAUUACCAACAGGAAGUAAUAGAGGAAGGGACAGAACAGCAGGAGCAAGCAAUGUUUAUCUCGGCACAUGCUAUGGGCCAGCAGCUUGCUGUACAAUCUCCUACAGUAAUUGUCCAUGUAAAUGGUAAAAGAGCAGUAACACUACUGGAUUCAGGGAGUUCAACCUCUUUUAUCAGUGAGCAGUUUGCAAAUCAAACUGUCAAUUACUCCCUGUCAGGCCUAGAAAGGUCUCUGUAGCUGGAGGAGGCCUGCUACUUUCCACUGCUGUAGUACCCAACUGUGCCUUUCAGCUAGCCAAACUGAAGUUGGAACAUUCUUUCAGAAUUCUCAACCUCCCUAGUCAUGAUAUGAUUCUAGGUUAUGAUUGGUUUUCAUUGGUUAGUCCUAUGGCUUUUGAUGUGCCUCACAACCAGUUCAGCUUCACUCUCCAAGGUAAAACAACAGUAACAAUGGCAGUUUACAAUUCUAGUGAGGAAAUUUUGGAGAUACUAGCAAAACAAGUCACUAAACUAUUGGACAAGGGUGUGGAAACUUUUCUUCUCCAAAUUCACAAUAUAGUGGCUCAAACUCCUGAUAAGCACUGUAUACCAGCUGCAAUAAACAACUUGUUACUGGAAUAUAAGGAUGUUUUUGCAGAACCAUUACCUCCAAAAAGGGAAUUAGAUCAUAAAAUUCCCUUGAUGUCAGGAGUUGAACCACCCCAUGUCAGGCCAUAUAGAGUACCUCAUCACCAAAAGGAAGAAAUGGAGAAGCAAAUUAAACACUUACUGGAUAAUAAACUCAUAAGAAAUAGCCAGAGUCCAUAUGCAACCCCUGUUCUUCUAGUUAAAAAGAAAGACAGUACUAUGAGACUUUGUACUGAUUUCAGAAGGCUGAACACUGUGACAGUGAAGAACAAAUUCCCUAUACCAGUAAUUGAGGAUUUGCUGGAUGAGUUGCAUGGAGCAAAGGUUUUCUCUAAAAUUGACUUAAGGUCAGGAUAUCACCAGAUAAGGAUGGACCCUGCAGACAUUCAUAAAACUGCAUUCAGAACUUUUCUGGGACACUAUGAAUAUUUGGUGAUGCCCUUUGGAUUAUCUAAUGCACCAGCAACAUUUCAGGCUCUCAUGAAUCUUCUAUUUUCUAAAUACAACAGAAAGUUUGUACUGGUAUUCUUUGAUGAUAUCCUAGUAUUUAGCAAUACUAUAGAAGAGCAUGUGGAACAUUUAUGGCAAGUGUUGCAAAUCUUGAGAGAAAACCAGCUAUUUGCAAAGAUGUCCAAAUGUGCAUUUGCAGUUCCUCAGGUGGAGUAUUUGGGACAUGUGGUUUCUGGUGAAGGACUAGCUACUGAACCCAGCAAGAUCAAAGCAAUUGUGGACUGGCCUACACCUACUGACAUCACUAAAUUGAGAAGUUUUUUGGGUUUAGCUGGCUACUACAGGAAGUUCAUCAAAUAUUAUGGGACAAUUUGCAGGUUCAUCAAAGAUUAUGGGACAAUUUGCAGACCAUUACAUUAUGCUCUUAAGAAAGGAAAAUUUCUGCGGAUAGUUGACCAAGAUAAAGCUUUCAGAAAACUGCAACAAGCUUUAGUUACAGCUCCAGUUCUAGCUCUGCCCAAUUUCAAUGUCCCUUUCACACUGGAAACUGAUGCCUCUGGUUAUGGUAUUGAGGCUGUACUUAUGCAAGAGGGCAGACCAUUGGCAUAUUACAGCUCUUCACUCUCUUCCAGAAAUGCUGCUCUAUCUACUUAUGAGAAAGAAGCUUUAGCAAUUUUGGAAGCUUUAAAGAAAUGGAGGCACUAUUUAUUGGGCAACUCUGUAAUCAUCAAAACUGAUCAGCAGUCCUUGAAGUUCAUUACUGAUCAAAAGAUUACUGAGGGAAUACAACACAAAUUAAUGAUGAAAUUGCUGGAGUUCAAUUUCACAAUUCAGAAACACCAUCUGCAAACAUCAAAUUUACGUCUCUGUGGAGUUUUUACCCUCACAAAAUCCAGAUUACCUUAUUUUAAGGGCAGCCCACCGAAAAUGUUGCUUGGGACCAUGGUCCACCCGAACCCACGCUCAGAACCACUCAUCCUAGGACACCGCGUAUGGGGAUAUGUGCAUGGUUGGUAAAGUAUUGCAUGGCGGGAACAAUUUAGGGCGAUGGUGGAAACAGUUUAGUGAGGAUUAGAAGCACUGCAUGUGCUAAAUAAUCCUAUUUGAUCCUAGUAGCUAAUAAAAUAGUCAUGUUGCAUUGGGCAAUGAAAUGUUAUCUGCCAUGCACAACCACUGUUCACUAUUGUUUAUUGCCUCGUUAUGCCAUGCACAACCACUGUUCACUAUUGUUUAUUGCCUCGUUAUGCCAUGCACAACCACUGUUCACUAUUGUUUAUUGCCUCGUUAUGCUCGUCGAGCUCUGUUUCCAACACAUGCAUGGAUGCAACUAAAAGUAGUAGAUAAUUUUUCAUAGUUAUAUUUGUGGCUCUUUUUUCUUCAAUUUUGUAUCCCAUGAAACUUACAAUUUUCCUGUACAUGAUUGAUGACCUACUGAUCAGACAUAUAGCAAAGCCAAUAAUAUGUAAAAGUUUUAGUUGCUGAACAGAUAAUUAGAUAAUUUUUCGUAGUUGAUGUGUCUACAUCUCUUUCUUCCAAAAAUCAGUACUAAUUUCCUACAUAAUAUUGUAUUGAAAGUAUUAUAAGUACAUGCUAGAUUUCUCUCACGUAACAUAUCGCUAUUCAAUUUUAGAAAAAUCUAGACAUUUUACAUAUGCUUAUCAAAGACUUCAAAAUAAUUCUUUUGUAGCUGCUAUGCAUGAUAAAUCGCCAUUUGGUGCAUAGGUGUGAUAGGUAUGUACCUAGAGACAUGUGCCAACCCAUCUAGUCUGAAAUAAAAAAAUAGCUAGCCCACGCAGGCCUAGGGUGUGCUUAUAAGCAGAUAGGUUAACGUGAGCCUGGAGAGGUUAAGAUUUAACAGAAAAUUUGAACGCAAAAGAGGCACAUAUCCACACGUGGAAAGGUUGGAAAUCGUAUGGUCUCACUAGUAGAAAACAGGGCUUUGGUUCGGCCAGAAAAGAGCAUUAAUCCCGGUUGCAUUACGAACCGGGACUAAUGUGAGCAUUAGUCCCGGUUCGAGCGGCUAGGGCACCGUACAGGCAUUAGUCCCGGUUCAAAUGGGACCUUUAGUCCCGGUUGAUGCCACGAACCGGGACUAAAGGGUGCGAUGCCCAUUAGUACCGGUUCGUGGCACCAACCGGUACUAAAGGUUAGACCUUUAGUCCCGGUUCGAGCCACCAACCGGUACUAAAGGUCCCAUUUUCAAACUCUACCCCCCUAUCGCCUUUUCAGUUUUGUAAAAAGCAAACAAAAAAAGAUAAAAACUUCAGAAAUUAAAAUCCUUCCAGAUGUAGUUAUGUUACUACAUGUACUAGUUAGGAAAAUUUAAAUACUUAAAUUUGGACAUGUUUUGCAAAUGGUGUAGGGAAAAUGUAAAACGGCUAUAACUUUUGCAUACGAUGUCAGAAAAAAACGUAUAAUAUAUCAAAAUGUUCAGCACGAAAAUCCGCAUCCGAUUUUGACAGCCUAUGGCCUGUUUGCAAAUUUUUAGAAUCCUCAAAUUCUAAAAGGAAAAAAAGUUAUGCUCAAAUUUCUGUUUUUUUUUGAAUUUUUGUUAAAUCUGGUCAAACUAUGGUCAAACUACUUAUUCAAGAAGUAUUAGUGUUACUAAAUAAUUAUUCAAGAAUAUUAGUGUUAUUAAAUAAUUAUUUCAGUUUUUUUGAAUUUUGGUCAAAUCUGGUCAAACUGUGGUCAAACAAUGGUCAAACUAAUUAUUCAAGAAAUAUUAGUGUUACUAAAUAAUUAUUUCAGCUUUUUUGAAUUUUGGUCAAAUCUGGUCAAACUGUGGUCAAACUAUGGUCAAACUACUUAUUCAAGAAAUAUUAGUGUUAUUAAAUAAUUAUUGUUUUUUAGAACAAUAGUUUCAAACUCAAACAGUGAAAUGUGUGACUUCAUGCUCAAGCUAAAUUCCUGAGGGUUAAUAGGAUUGACAUCUUACUAUUGUCAAGAAAACAACAAGUGAAGACUUGGAAACGAGGGAGAAUAGAACCCGGAAGUUAAGCGUGCUCAGGCUGGAGUAGUGAGAGGAUGGGUGACCGUCCGGGAAGUUAGAUGAUUUGGAAUGAUGAGGGUGAUUAGAGAUUAGAGGUUAAAUUGAGCAGUGAUGAGGGGUGAUUAGAGAUUAGAGGUUAAAAUAAUUCUGAAAUUUGAAAAUAAAAAAAAUUCAAAAAAAUAUUUCAAAAAAAAAUCAUAAAAUUUCCUUUAGUACCGGUUGAUGUUACCAACCGGGACUAAAGGUGGACCUCCAGGCAACGGCCACAUGGAGGGCCUUUACACUUUAGUCCCGGUUCCAGAACCGGGACUAAAGGCCCUUAUGAACCGGGACUAAAGACCCUUUUUCUACUAGUGUCUGGACCAUGGGUUCGGCCGAACCAUGGUCCUGAAAAUCGCCAUAUUAGGCAAAUCAAUUUUCAUGUUGUUACUCAUUUACAGACAGCUUCUGGAGGCAUCCUUUUAAGCAUGUAGUUUCUACCAAAUUGCAGAACUGUGUCUGUGCCUCUAUGGCGUAAAAUAUAACGGUUUAUGCAUGCAUUUUUGUUGUUUAAGUAUAACCAUCCACAGAUACACCCACUUUUUUUCUGGCUACCGUUUGGAAACCAUUUAAUUAGAUCUACCAAUAUUCCAUUUCCUCAUCUUCAAUUUUUAGAUUUUUUUGCUUGUCACUUUAGUUAUGUAUCUAGUGUAAGGUAUUACACGACCAGUCUGUUCCCUAACUAUCUUUUGUGUGUGAUUCAGAAAGGUUGGAUCAAGACAUCAGCGGAAUUGGGGCUACUAAUUGUGACCAUUCUUUCCAGUGUUCAUGCGUUUCAAUGUGGGUCAGUUCAUCUUGUCCGGUAAGGAAGGAUCUUCUUAAUCACUGUUUCAUUGCGUGCUAAGGGGGAAACUAGGAAUCACUUUGUUUCAGAUGGAAGCCAUCUUUUCUUGUUUUGUCUUUACACUACAUCUGGGUUGCCAUUACUCAUUUUAUAUAAAUCUUCUCAUGUGUUCACUUACUUUUAAUAUUCUUUAGUAGGACUGGUUAGUGAAGUAAAAAGAAUUCCACAGCAAUGUUGAAUGUGCAGUCAUCUGGUGACUGAUAUCACACAUUAGGCUUUAUUUGUACUCUUGGACACUCGGAGCCUACUGAGGUUCAGGGGUAUUUGCAGUGUUAAAUAUUAACCUUUGUGUCUGUUACUCAUGUGAAUAAAUUUCACUCGGUAUAGAGUAUUGAAUGUUCACACCAACUGUUUGAAUCUAAUUAUCUAAGAUACAUAUUGACUUAAAUAUUAAACCUUGUGUCUAGUGCUCAUAUGAAUAUAUUUUUACCCGGUAUAGAGUAUUGAAUGUUGUUGCCAGCUGUUUGAAUCUAUAUCCAAGUUACAUAUUGAUUUUCACUUCAAUUGACUAGAUCAUAAAAUUGCAAACGAGUAAAUGCUGCUUUAUAGACACAAACAUUAAUUCCAAGUUUCCAACACUAUAACCACAUGUAUGUGUAGCGUUAAAUUGUCUGUGUAUUGGGUUCCAUCGUAGUUUGCCUUUAUUUAUUGUUGUUUCCAUUUCAGGUUUGUCAGUUCUGUCAGAAGCUGUCUGAAGCUCCUACAAAUCCUACAUGUUCUGUUUGCCAGACCUCUGAAAACCUCUGGAUCUGUGUGAUAUGUGGUUUUGUUGGAUGCGGAAGGUAUGCUAACACCGACUGACUGAAAGUGUACCAGAACUUGUAGUCGUCCUACUAUGGCAGGAAUGCUUAAGCAUUUCACACCUUUACAUAAUAUGCUGUACUGUUGGUCUGGUGCACUCAGUAGAAGUUAGGAAGAAAGGAAACCUACAUUGGAGCUUAACUAUAUCAUCACUUCUACUACUCCCAGACUCCCUGAUAUGUGGCUUUUAUAUGUAGUAAAAGUAGGAAACCUACAUCGGAACUUUACUAUGUCAUCACUUCUAUUUCUCCCAGACUACCUGAUACAUGUCUUUUAUGUAGUAAAUAGUUAUUUCAUUUUGACCUUUUCUCAUCAGAAGUUCAGAACUAAUAGUCGCUCUGCUAUGUGCUAUUUCAAAGCAUUUAACAUGAAACUUAACUAUAUCAUUGCUUUUAUUUCUCGUAGACUCCCUGAUACGUGUCUUUUAUGUAGUAAUAGUUAUUUUCUUUUGACCUUUUUUAUCAGAUGUUCAGAAUCCAUAGUCGCUCUGCUAUGUGCUAUUUUGAAGCAUUUAACAUGAUUAUUUAAAGAAAAACUAUGUCAGAGGUUAUUAAUUCUACUUUUGUCAACAUGCCCAAAUCAACCUUCACUUUAUUAAUUUGCCGUUGAUAGGUAUAAAAAAGGGCAUUCAAUCAGGCACUGGAAAGGCACUCAACACUGCUAUUCUCUCGAUUUGGAAACUCAGCAUGUUUGGGAUUAUGUUGGUGACAGUUUUGUCCAUCGGCUCAAUCACUCAAAAAGCGAUGUAAAGCAUGCUAAGUUCAGUUCGAAGUGUGAAUAUCCUGGGGACAACUGUGUAAACUGCAUGCACGAUGACUCAGAUAUGGGUGGAGUUAUGUUUAGCAGCAAAGCGGACACAGUAAGAGAUUUAAGUUUCUUUGUUUUGAUUCUCUGUAACACCUUCUUGGUAUUCUUGCUCCUCAAAAUCAUGUGCCCUGCUCUUCUUAACAGAUUGUGGAUGAAUACGAUCGUCUUUUAGCAAGCCAACUUGAAACUCAGCGAGAGGUGCAGUGCUCUUUCCUUUGUAGUACUAUUUUUUUGUAUGGUCACUAUCCAUUGUAUUGUUCUAGAGCUUCUCAUAUAGUUUUUCUUGGAGAUAAAUUUUGUUAUAGUUAUGUAAUAUUCUGAUCCAAUUAUAUGCGUGUGUUUGUUCAUAUUGACAGUAUUACGAAGCUCUUUUGUCAGACGCCAAGAAGGAAAGGGAACACCAUAUUUCUGUUGCUGUGGAUAAAACUAUAAAUGAUAAGCGUCAAGAGCUGCAACUUGAGCUUGAAAAUACAAUGUUGGAGAAAAAGAAAGUUGCUGAAGUGAGCUUAUUUAAAUCACGCUGCCUUUUCCAUUAUAAUGUACAACCAGUUUUCCUAUUGAUGUAACUGAUGUCCUAUGCCUUAUCCUGUAGAUGAAUGAAAAACUCACGAAGAGCCAGGAUAUAUGGCACCAGACAGUAAAAGGAAUAGAGGAAAGGUAUGUUUUGAUCUUUCCACCUGAAAAUGGUAGUAGCCGUGCAACAUUCAAGAUGUGUCAUGUGAAAGAAGUCAAAUAAUGCAUUUUUGGGGGCACAUUAUGAACAUAGAUACUUGAAAUGAUUUGCUGAACUAUAUACUUUAUGUCAUGUUCAGUCUUAUUUAGAGGUUGUUUGAAUAUUCUCCUUUCAUAUCUAUUCCAUUCUAAAAUGCCACAAGUUUCCUGUAUCCUUUUUUGAUGAUUCUGCAUUCACAGGGAGAGAGCACAGUUGAAGCUGAAAGAUGAUACGAUUCUUGACCUCGAAGAACAGGUGCCUAUAUUUUUCAUUGCUGUUUCGUGUAAAAGCUAUAAUAUCUGGAGGUGGGUUUCAGUACUAGGGGCAUUCGUUAACAUGUCCUAUAUAAUCCCUGCAGCUAAAAGACUUCAGAUAUUCCAUCAAGUUACAAAAGUCUAUGGCGAAGAGUUCACAUGCUGAUGAUCUCAAAGGAGGUAUGCUGGUGCCACUGGCCAUGGAGUCAGAUUCCGGAAAGGGUAAAAGGUCGUCAAGAACAAGCAAGAGAAGGAAUUAGUGGCGACUUUGCUAGUAUGAAUGCAUGACUCUUCACCAUUUGUUGUAUAUGCUAAGAUUCUGCAUGUUAACUUCUGACUUUGUGUGAGAAGCACAAGGUCGCUCUUUCAUUGUAGUUUCUCUCACUGUACUAAUCAAGUUCAUCUGAUACAGUCUCAGCAAGAAAAACUAGAAUCUGAUUCAAAAUACAAUUUUGUUACAUACCCAGAAAGUAAUUUCAGGAAUGCACACUACAUAACCGUAAUACUGUUUUGCAUUACAUAACUUGCAAUUUGUAAUUGUUCAAGCACUACAGCUCGAGCAUUACAGAUCUUCCGUAAGGAUGUGUAAUUGCUCAAGCACUGUCAAUAAAUGACAUUUUGUCCGAUAUGGUUUAGCUUUAUAUAACUAUCUAAAUCUUGACGUUUUAGCUAAAUUCCUUUUUAUGGACUAUUAGAGUGAUAAAAUAAUUUUAGAAAAAUGUUCAAAAAAUAGUGGAGUGGCUGAUGAUCGCAAAGGGGUAUGCUGGUGCCACUGGCCAUAGAAUCAGAUUCUGGAAAGGGGUAAAAGGACAUCAAGAACUAGAGACCGCACAAAACGCCCGUGACCUCCUCCCCUCGUGCGGCGGCGGCGCGCCGCACCGGGGCCUCCCCGCCGGGCCUCCCUCUCCUCCCCGCCGCCGCCGCCGAGGGCAUCGCAGGCUAAGCCUGUGGGCCGCAGCGGCGGCGGCGGCAGUCUUCCUCGGCCAGCGAUCAGAUCUGGGUGGCGGCGACCCACUCCGGCCGAUUCAAGGGCGGUGGCGCAGGCCGGUGGCGACCAGGGUUGCCGUGCUGGCGGUGGCGACGAAGAGAUCACAUCGGCGGCUAGUGUGUCCGAUCUGGAUCCCUUUCGGAUCUGGAUGGGGCUCGAGCCGUCGUGCGCAUCCUUUGUUCCGGCGCGGCAAGCGGCCUCUGGACUAGGCACGCGACACGAGGACGUCGGGGGCUCCGGCCCUGGGCAUGGAGGUGGUGGCCAUCUUCUUCGCCGGAGGUGGUCGGCUAGAUGGUUGUUGAUUCUCGCAUCCAGUCCCGGCGUAGAGUGGGGAGACGACACUGCCGGUGAAAACCGUGCUAUGACUCGGAUCAUGGCGGGCGAUGGCGGCGUUUUCGCGUCGUUAUCUUGUUGAAGACAUCGCCUCUGCAGCUUCUGUCCACUUGCUUGCGCUGCUCUAGGUGAAAACCUAGAUCCGGAGUUUCCGGAUCGGACGAUGGCGGUGCUUUUGGCGUCGUUUUCCCUCAUGGGGGCAUCGUUUUUUUGAGCAGCGACUGGAUGCAAGACCAGAGGACGGAUUCUUUGGUGGAGCGGUGUGACAUCUCACUCAUUGAUGGCGGCGGGUCUCGGCGGCAUGGCGUUGUGGUGACUCUGCGUCCGAUGCGCAGAGAUGGACUCGUGCAGGAGGGUGACGCGGUCUGGCGUCGUGGUGGUGUCGACGGCAGCUAGACCGGGCAAGGUAGAUGCAGCAGUACAGCUCUGAAGAUGGAUUGGUGGCAGGUGGCUGCGGCGGCAUCAGACCCGGCAGGCGUCCUGGUUGAGGAGUGCGCCAGACUGGUAGGUGACCCAUACCCGGCAGACGUCCUGGUUGGGACCUCGGGUCUUAGAUGUUAGGUUUGGCUGCGAGGUCUGUUUGGUACUAGGCCCAGACUAUCAGCAUCCUUUCAUCACUUGGAUAGGAGUAGCGACACUUUUGUUGCCUAGACGGUGGCUUCAGUCUUACUGUUGUAUGACUUUGUAAGGUCUUAUGUGAAUAAUUAAUAAAGUGGCUGCAUGCAUCGUCCAGAUGCAGAGGUCGGGGGUCGUCCUCCAUUUAUAAAAAAAAUAACAAGCAAGAGAAGGAAUUAUGGGCGACUUUGCCAGCAUCAAUAGUACGAUCUGUUAUUGGCCGUGUAUGUAAAGCUUCUGAUACAUUCUCUGUAAGAAGUAGUACAAUCUGUUACAAAGGAGUAGGUUACAUUACGGAACCAGAAAGGAAUUAAGAAAGCUCUGUGGAUCUUACAUAAGUAUACUGUAGCUAACAUGUGUAAUGCUCAAGCACUAUAUGACUUGCAAUGUGUAAUUACUCAAGCACUACAGCUUGAGCAUCACAGAUCUUCCGUAAGGAUGGCAAAAUGAGAACCCAACGGUGGCCCAAAAUGUCAACACAAAACCGGCAGUUGUGACAACAUAUAGAACUAGGUCAUUGGGCGUCUCUUCCACAUCAUUCCCCACAGCAGGAUCUGGACCGGGAGCAGCACAAGUAUUCCCCUGAGUAAUAUCGUGAAGGUUGGUGUUGGCUAGGUAGCUGUCCAUGCUGAAUGAACCGAGCUGUCCAUAGUUUGGUAUGCAUCCUGACAAGUUGUUGUAUGCCACAGAGAAUGCCCCCAAUGAUGACAAUUGAUUUAACUGCCAAGGUAUUAGUCCACUCAGUUCAUUGUGGGAGAGGUCCAAGCUUUCUAUCUCCUCCAUGCUGCCCAAGGUCGGCGGGAUCGGGCCAACAAAGAAAUUGUAUGACAGGUUAAGGGAUUUGACAUGGCUUAGGUUCCCUAGGUCCCAGGGAAUUUCUCCAUGCAACAUGUUUGCAGAUAAGUCGAUUCCAGCCAUUGAAUCGAAGAAAUCGCGACCGUACGUGUAAAUAUUUCCUUUGGUAGCAAAGGUGAAGCCACUUAAGUCAUAUCCACCAAAGUACAGUUUACUCUCAGAUACUGACUGAAAAAUUGCAUCGACCCUAUCACCUUUGAAAGAGAUAUUACCAAUACAUGCUGGCAGAGAACCUGAAAGCUUGUUAUGUGAAAAAUCAAGUAUCCUCAAGUACAUGAGUCUGCACAGGGUUGGAGUGAUUUGCCCUUCAAACUUAUUUCCACCCAGCGAAAGUAGCCUAAUGUUGUCAAGGUAACUUACCCAAUUGAGGUUGCCCAUGAACUGAUUGUGUCUCAUAUCCAAAGCAAUCAGACUUGAUGUGUUGAAAAGGGGAAAAGAGAUAUCACCAGAUAAGGAGUUCCCAGUAAGAUUAAGAAAAUUCAGCCCUAUGAAGCAACUGUUUGGUACAGAUCCUGUAAGGUUGUUGCGCGACAGAUCUAAAAGGCGAAUGCCUGUGAAGCCACAAAUGUGUUGAUCAAUUUUUCCAGUUAUACGGUUUCCAGCAAGAUUCAGGACUGACAAAGAUGGCAGAUCCCAAAAUGCCGUAUCGAGUUCCCCAGACAGCUCGUUGUCAUGCAAAUCAAUGACCUGUAGAAACUUUCCUGCCAGAUCAUGAGGCAAUGUCCCUUUAAAUUUGUUACCAUCCAAGCACAAUUCAUAUAUAUUUGACAGAUUAUUCAUCCCACAAAAAAUCGGACCACCAAGCUUGUUGUUUGAGACCUUCAAGAUGAAUAGCCCGGGAGAAUUAGUAAAAACACAAGCUGGAACCUCCCCAGAAAGUUUGUUGUUUGAUAGGUCUAAAAAUCCCAUGGAGCUGAUCUCACACAUUGACGUUGGUAUGUGCCCCAACAAGUCGUUAAUACAACCAAGCCUGGAAACAUUGAGCUUUUUUCGACAAAGGGUGAUUUUUUAUUGACUCAUAGUGUAGCAUCGAGGGAUACAAUCAUAAUGAGUACACACCCGGCCUCUGCACAACUAGGAUGCACACAGCCAACACAACACACGCACACACACGAUCACUUCGGCAAAGAGCAAAGUCAUAAAAGACCAAAGCUAUGCCUAGGUGGAGAAAAGAAAACCCGAUGAAUUGAAAGCAACGAUAAACGGUAUACAGCAGUGACCAUCGGCGUCAACCAUCUCUUCACAACACAAGGACUAUGAGAAAGGCUCUUCAAAAGCGACGCCUCCAGGAAGGGAACGACGUUCAAGCGCCGCCGUCGCCGAAUCCAACCACACCAAGGUUAGAUCAUGGGUUUUCACCCUGAAGAUGUUGUCCGAGCCAAUUCCGAGCAAUGCCCUCAUUAGGGUAACGACGCAAAAGAACGCCGCCAUUGCGAGAUAUGACCAACUAGGGUCAAACCUAUGGUUUUCACCACGGAGCUCGAGACUAGGUACUAAAGAAGUACCACCCAAUCGAAGUAGUCUUGUGUCGUCUCCUCCACCUUCCUCGAUCCCAGUAGUUGCAUAUGCGCACGGUCCUUGUGACGGGGGAUGUCCAUGCCCGUACGAGCAAGCUGACAAGACGAGACAAGAUCUUCUCUCGCCACCAUCUAACAAAGACUUUGACGGGGAAGAAGGACUGUCGGCACCACCAAAAUCCCGGGAUGGGGACACUCUGAAGGCCUACACCAUCCUCACAAGUAGCAGCUGUUGACUGAUCUGUAUCAGACGGCAGCUCCACGAGUUGCCACUACCUCCACCGUCCUUGUCAGUGGACGCAGAUCAUCCAGGUUGAAGAUCUUCAGGUAACCAGUCAAGCCCACAACCACACAGCAGCCUGUGGACCAGAUUCACGACCGAACCUGAGGGAACAACCACCAUGAGCACUACGCACCAACGCCAAAAAUGCACCCAUGGAGCAGUGGCCCUAGCAUGGAUGUGCUCUCAGGUUGGAUGCAUCGGAGGAAGUCACAGCACAAAACGCAGAAGAGCAACAUAUGUGCAUGCUCCAGUGGUCCUGUCAACGAAGAUGACUGCGUUACAAGCGUCCAUGAUGCCGACCUAAUUAUCCCAAGCCAUGCUUCCGCCAGAUACGUGGAGCGCCGGAGCUGCCGCUGCAGCAUCAACCUUCACAGCCGCCAGCCGCCAUCUGCAUCUCGUCGAACACGUUGCCCAAAGAUCCACGGGAACAGAACCCCGCCGCCGCCGUCAGCCGCCUGGGCAAGGCCCGAUGACGCCGACCGGCGGCGGCGAGGGGAAGGCGCACAGGGACGACGCCGGAAAAAACGGAUCGAGCGCCGCCCGAGUCGCCCAGGCAGACGACGCGGGGGCAGUUUUCAGCCCUGGUGGACAAAUUUGGCAUGCUACGGUUCAUGUGUAUGUCGAUACGGAUGAGAGAAGAUUGGGUAUGCCAUAUUGAAUCCAGGGAUCCAGUUAGCGAGUUAUUCCCAAGAUUUAGAUCCCAGUAGCGUUGCUUCCUUAGUAAACAACCAAUUUGGCAUGCUACACAAGUUAUUGUUGGACAAAUGAAGCACCUCUAAACGAUGUUGUGUGCGCAAAAAAUGUGGUUCCGCAAUAAUGUUCUUGUCAAGGUCACAACCAGAGAGGAGCAGUUGUUUCAAUUGGAACGGAGGUGUCCAUCCGAAAAUAUUAAUGUCAACAGCUAGGGCCUGAAAGGUCUAUCUCUUCUAGUUUUGUGAGGCUUUGAAGCGAAAUGAAAGAAAGUCUACCACUCAAAUUGUUUUGAGAAAAACGAAGACUCUUAAGCGACAAUGAAAGAUUGGAAGAAGGAUUUAUCAGGAUUGACCCUCCCAGCAAAUUAUUUGAGAGAUUCAACCGUUCAAUAUGUGGAAGCGAAAACAAGGAUGUUGGAAUGUUUCCGCUGAAUUGGUUGAAACUCAAAUACAACUCUCGUAGGUUCUGAAGAUUUCUAGUUUCUGCAAAAUAAUAAAAUCAUGUAACAAUUAGAAACAAUGGCAACAUUACUUUCACUGAUCUAAGUCGGAAUUAAAUGCUCAUUGUGUACCUCGUUCAGUCGGAAGAGCUCCACUCAACAUAUUAGACUCUAGAUGUAAGACUUCAAGCUGAACUGGUUCUGAAGACACACUAGUAGGAAAAUGUCCCUCAAAGUAAUUAUACGAGAGAUCUAGGGAAUUCAGCUGAGGAAGUGCAAAUAAUGACACAGGGAGAGAUCCGCUAAACUGGUUGUGACCCAAAUUCAAGCUCCUGAUGUGUUUAAAAGCUGCAAUGCAUACAAGUUGUAUAAUUAUUACAGGUGGCAGAAACUGAGGUAUGAAACAUGAAAUCCCUUUUUCCAAUGUAAGAUUUUUUUUACCUCUAACCGGGAGAGUUCCGUUGAGGCGAUUAAAACCGAGAUCUAGGACUUCAAGUGAAAUUGGCCCUGAGAAUGAGCCUAUUGAAAUAUGCCCAUCGAAGUCAUUGGAGGAGAGAUCUAGGAUCUUUAGGUGAGGAAGUGCGAAUAGCGAAGCUGGGAGGCUUCCGUCCAAGCUAUUCCCAGAUAUGUUCAGUUGUUGCAAGUUUCUGAGAUUCUCAACAGCUGCAAUGUGUGUAGGCAGUAGGCAUGCGAGGCGAGUUUAUGAAUAUGCAAUUUUUGACGGCUACCUUAGCACUAUACUAUAAUUAAGCACAAAUCUCUACCUGCGUUUGGAAGACCUCCGGUCAUGCCGUUACCAGUGAGAGCUAAAACAGCCAGUGAAACAAUUUGCCCAAUAAAUUCCGGGAAACCCCCUCCGAACCAAGUGAAACUGAGGUCGAGAUAUCGAAGUUUGGCUAGUCCAACUAAACCUGCACGUGUUUUUGUUUGUACAGCAACGAGAAUAAGAAGUCAUCGCACAUACAUAUAUUGUUCUAAAGAAAAGAGAAUUUGGAGCACAAACGUACCUUCCAAGGCUAGUGAACAUCGAUAAUUGUAUGACAGAUCAAGGUAUUGAAGGUCAUGUAAUGCAGAAAACACCGUCGAGUUUGCAUACCAACUCCCUUCUGAAUUAGUUACACAUACAUAGGAAAAGUUGAGAUGAGACACUCGCUGUGUUGUAUUGUUGCAUUUCACGCGCUCCCACGAGCAGCAGUCAUCACCAUCCUCCCCCCAUGAAUCAAGCGCACUCAGGGAAUGCGCUCUUACCAGAGAAGAUCGGAUGUCAAGUAGAGCAGCCCUCUCCUCCACGAAGCAGGCAGAGGACGAGUGAAGCAUGGGCUGCAACAACACAAGUAGUAUCAAAGACAAUGAUCCCCAUGGCAAGCAGCUACCCAUAGCUAGACUUUGGAAGAGAAAUGGUGAGUGGUUUUGCAGUUCUGCAGGCUUUGCUUUUAUCUUCCGCUAGCUUCUUCUUACUAACUACAGACAAGAACAUGCCAGGAAUACGAGACAAGGAGUACAACUUGGCACACACGGUCAGUUUACUAGCUUGCACCGAGUCUUCAUCAAUCAUUCAUCCUCCACAAUAAACAUUGUUUUAAAUAUAUUUUGAUGCAUCCUUGACCAGGUGGAUGGCCAAUAGUCGCAGCCGGCAUAUUUUGCCGGCCGGGACUAUUCAAGUUCUAACAAGGACGUCAUAUGGGGUCCAAGUCCAACAAUGUGGACAGGAACACAUAUGUAUCUUGAGAAACUACCAGGCUCAUGAAAGGACAGAGUAUACAUACAACUUCACUAAUCAUUCAUCACCUACAGGAAACCUUGUUGUAAAUAUAUUUCGAUGCAUUGUUGACCUGCAGGUGGAUGUCUAAUUUGUCGUAGCCAGCAUUAGGUGCCGACUAGACUUUUAAAGUUCUAACAACGUCAUCUCGGCCCCAAUGGAGACAGGGACGACACACAUAUCACAUACGAGUAGUAUGUUUCUUCAUCAAACCUAGGCUACCAGGGCCACGAAUGUACCAAAUAUAACUAGAAAACUUGAGCAAUGCAUAUCUAGUACAGUAGUACAGUACUAGCAAAUUUACUAACCAUAUGGAAGAUUCAGAAGAGACCAAACAAGAUGUACCAGCUGGAGCAGUCGGGAAGAGAUUGUGCAUUCAAAUCUUGAACCGGUUUCAUCGUUGAAUUCCUCGCAUAUGAUAUCUUCAAAACUAGAUGUCAUGUUGAUGGUUUUGACAAACUUUUUUUUCAUAAAAAAGACAAAAAACCCGAAGCACGUAUUUUCCCUUUUAGGAAGCUGUUUCCGAGAGGCGUCGCGAAGGAAUAAAAAAGAAAACAUUUUUUUCUGUUUCUGAGAGGCAUGGCCUCUCGUGGAAGUAAAACCAUGCCACUCGCGGAGGAAAAAAUAGAAGAGAAAACACCUUUUUUCCCUUUUCGAGAGGCACGGCCGUGCCUGUCGCCGAAGCAAAUCCAUGCCUCUCACUGAAGAAAAAAAAAGAGAAAACAUAUUUUUUUUCAUUUGUAAAUAUCUAUAUGUAAAUUUCGCCGAAACAAUAUUUCGCGGAGUAUAUUAUAGAACGGAGGGAGUAUAUGACUCGUGUUGCAUCAAGAGAGAGCUCCUAUAUGAUGCACCUUGCCUCAAAAUGGUGGCAUCCCUCCAUGCGGGUCGGCCAAUAGUGCUAGCUGCUGUACACAGCGCUGCAUCACCCUUUUUUUGCUACGUCUGGUUUUCCGAAUUUUCCUAAUAAAAAGUUUUCAGUUGGUUUUAUUUUUGAGGUUAUGAACUUUUUCUUUUCAAAAUCGAUGAACUUUGUACAAAUUUGUGUACUUUUCCAAAAUUGAUGAACAUUUUUUGAAAAUAUUCAUGAACUUUUUUCAAUAUCUGAUGAAUUUCUUUCAAAAUCAAUGAACUUUUUCAAAUUAAUGAACAUUUUCCGGAUGCGUGAACUUUUUUUAGAAUUUAAUGAUUUUUUAAACUUUUUUGCGAGCUUUUUGUAAAAGAUAACAGUCAACAAGCUGAUCAAUAGUCCAUAGUCCGGUUAACAGUUAACUUUUUUUUUUGAGCGGUCUGUAAACAGUUAACGAGGGACCUGGGACCGAGCGACGAGCGAGCAGAGCGAGUGAGGAGGAGCAACCUACUACGAUCGUUCGCUGAUGCUUAAUGGGCCGGCCCAAUCGACCUUCUGCGUUGGCGCCGGCUAAGCAAACUGGUGCAAAUGGCGCUGUAUAGCUAGGAGUAUUUUUUUUCCAGAAGCGCCCUUCUAGGCACUUUAUAUUCAACUAACAAACAUGCCCGUGCAUUGCAACGGGAGAGUACAUAUUUUUUAUCCAAGCCAUUGUUCUCAUUUCGAUUCAAUUUUGGUUCUGACUCGUAAUAUUGAUGACGUGCACCUACGGUUAGACUCAUAUAGCGACCGGUCGGUGUCGUUCGGAAAUAAGGAGGCCGCGUCUAUAAAUUAAGUCUAUUUAAGAAAACUCAUAUGUGUCCCCGUCACAUGCAACGGAUAAAACAUAAAUUAAGAUCCUAUGAAACACAAAUUAAGAUCCUAUGUAUCGGUUUCAAUAUUAACGUUCACGGCUAUCACAAGAAUUGUUCGGAUAUUUUCAAAAUAAAUUUUCAUGUACUUUUGAUGUUCAUGAAUUUUAAGUGUAUGUAUAUGCUAUAAAAAAUUUGAAAAAAUAUUGUGUACUCCGUUGGUAAGCACGCAUGUGGAUUUGUCAAAAAAAAUGUACGCAGGGUCUUUUAACAUGGGACAUGUACGUAGGUUGCACCCGAAAUAGCAUUUUUUAAAUAGUUAAUAGAUAAAGUUAACAUCAUAUUCAAAUUCUACAUAUUUUUCUAAUCCAUUUAAUAUAUAAAAAAUAAUUGUGUACAAUGUUGGUAAAUACGCAUGUGGAUUUCGCCGAAAAAACAUACAUAAGGUCUUCGAUCAUGGGAUAUGUAUGUAGGUUGCACCAUAAAUAUCAUUUUUAAAUAGUUAAUAGAUAAAAAUAAAAUCAUAUUCAAAUUCUACACAUUUUCGUAAUCAAUUUACAUAUAUAAUAUGUUGAAAUUGAAGUUAGGGAUUAAAAGAUAUGAUUAUUUUAAAAAUUAUUCCAGAUGAACUGCGGGUUGAUUAACAUAAAUAUUAGGGGGUUUUAUGUAAAACUUUAGAAAACGAUUCACCCUAACUUAAAGUUGGACUGCGGGUUGAUUAGCAUAAACGUCAGGUUUUUUUUUGUAAAAUGAAAAAACGAUUCGUCCUGCCUUAAGGAUGGACUGCGGGUUGAUUUCAAUAAACUGCAAGGGUGUUUUGCAAAAAGGCAUGACGGACGACCAGAAACAUUUCGUGCUUUAUUAUUAGGGAAAGAUAAUGUGACGGUUUACAUCUGAUUGCACCAAGGCAACCAAAGAAGUAGGGAAUACAGUACAUCAUAAGAAACCACACUGGGUAAGUGGGUAUACUAACUAGACCCUCUCUUGCACACCAAUGAGCAGCCUCAUUGGCUUCCCUCCUCGUGUAGUUGAUGCAAAAACCCUGAAAAUUUGAGAGAUAGGAUUUAAUCUCUCUAAGAACCUGGCUUCCCAUCGACCGACAGUCCCCAGCCUUCCACUCCUCCGUGAUAGUUUGGCUGUCAGACUCGAUGAUGACCUGCCUCCAUCCCUUCUCCCUCUCAAUUUGUACAACUUCUCUUACUGCCAACUACUACGCACAGAAUGAAUCCGUAACCCCAGCAAGCUUAGAGCUUCGUGCAAGUAGGAGAGCCCCGUCAUGAUCCCUUGCCACUAGACCAAUGGCGGAUGAUCCUCCAUUCGCAUCGACUGCAACAUCUGUAAUCUUCACCUAGGCACUCUCUGGUGGCUUCCAGCGUACAAUCUGCUUUACCUUCUCCCCAAGUGCAUUGCAUGGGACAUUCAGAGCAUGGAUGAGCUCGUGAACCAGUACAUAGACCGGCGUCGUUGGUGCUGUUGUUGCAUUUCACACGCUCCCACGAGCAGCAGUCCUCACCAUCCUUCCUCCAUGAAUCAAGUGUCGCGGGGUGAGCCCGCUCUUAUCAGAGAAGACUGGAUGUCCAGUAGAGCAGCUCUCUCCUCCACGAAGCAGGCAGAUGACAAGUGAAGCAUGAACUGUAACAAGAAAAAUAGUAUCAAAGAUGAUGAUCCCCAUGGCAAGUAGCUACCCAUAUCUGAUAGUAGUAAGCUUUUCCCUCUCCUGUCUGCGUGCAUAUAAACUACAGUUGGGCUGUAGGUGCUCAGACUUUGAGGAGAAAAUGGUGAGUGUGUUUCUGCCGGUUCUGCACUAUUUUGCGAGCUUCUUCGCACCAGCUAUAGACAAGGACAUGCAAGGAAUAAAAGUCUAGGAGCACAGCUUGGCUGAGAUUUGGCAGUUUACUUGGACCAAGACUUGAGGAAUCAAUCAUCGUCUUUUUUGACUAAAUGCAGACCAAGACUUCUUUCAUCGCGAUUCCAAGAGGGAAACCGUUGAAUUACAAGGAGGGUAGCCAAAGAAACAGAGAAAGAAUUAAGAGGCCAGAGGCCUGUUGACCAAAGGCAGCCAGAACACGCUUUCUGGCCGUGUUAAUCCACAGAUUAGCUUCAAGCAGCAAUUUGGCGGAGACAAACAGUCUGGGGAGGGCUCGAGAUUGCUCUCAAAGUCCUCUGUCCAACCAGAUUCUGGAAAGGGUGAAAGGUCGUCAAGAGCAACCAAGAGAAGGAAUUAGUGGCGACUUUGCUAGUUUGAAUGCAUAUGAACCUCCAUCAUUUGUUGUACGUAUAUGCUAAGAUUCUGAAGAAUCAACGGAUGAGUUGUGGUUAGGGGUGAAAAGCCACUCCAACCCAUGUUAACUUCUGUCUUUGUGUGAGAAGCCCAAGGUCACUCUUUCAUUGUAGUUUCUCUCACUGUACUAAUCAAGUUCAUCUGAUACACUCUCAGCAAGAAAAAGUAGAAUCUGAUACAAAAUACAAUUCUGUUACAUACCAGAAAGUAAUUUGAGGAAUGCACACUACAUAACUGUAAUACUGUUUUGCAUUACAUAACUUGCAGUUUGUAAUUGUUUAAGCACUACAGCUCGACUGCUCAAGCACUAUUAAUAAAUGUC